This 6550-nucleotide long non-coding RNA is filed under the name Gallus gallus (chicken). RNAcentral describes it as "lncRNA (ENSGALG00010002931.1)". The record is from RNAcentral. Lineage: Eukaryota; Metazoa; Chordata; Aves; Galliformes; Phasianidae.
CAGCUAAUACUCAUGUGUGUCAUAGUAUAAAAGGAAGGCGCAUCUUUUGACUGAUUAUACUUCAGCCUAGGACAUACAGCUUCUUCUAAUUUCUGUUUAGAAUGGUGUAUAUAUAUAUCUCUCUAUAUAUCUUUCCUUGACCAAAAGUGGGCCAAGAGCAUAAAUAAAGAAGUCUACAUACAACUUUAUUUCUGCAAAACAUGUUGUAAUCAAAUUCUGUAUACUACUGACUUUUUAACUCCAUUGUAAAUACUUUUCUCACACAAGCACUUACCAAAACCAGGGUUGAAACAGGUGUGUUACUCUAUCUACAGCUGUUCUAUAUGACAGAAGGCAUAAAUAAAAUAUAAAAGAAAAGAAAAAAUGAAAAGCCUGUUUGAUUUCUUCCACAGCUGCAGAGCAUGUCAAACCAGUUUCUGAUAGCAAGAAAGGGUAGAAGUCAAAAUUCAACGUAUAUGACUUCAGGGGAGAAUUUUCUGAUGAUUUAGAGAAUGUAUGUUACCUUCACACUACUAUUGCUUUCAAAUGUCCCUUGCUAGGAUUGUAGCUACACAACAGACAUCCUGAAUAAUCUAUUGGAGUAAAUUCAGCAAACUAGGCAAGGAGCAAAGAGAGGGAUCAGGAUUUUGCUGGCUCUAAGUUUGGAGCAGUGACAUGGACUGAGCCCACACAGAGCUCUGAACACUACACAGGAAGAAUAACUGUCCAUUUCGAUCUCUUGGUAGCAUUUGUUUCUGCAUCUUGAAAAUGGACACUCACAAGGUUUCUGCAAAGAGUAUAACAUGCCACUCUCCCAGGAAGUGUCUGUGUUUUGCAAUUUGUUUUACAUAGCAGGUCACUGUGCUUCAUUCUCACACCUCUCUAGACUGUGGAAAAAGAUAAGCCAGACAAAGAUCAUCCAUAUGCAUGAAGAGCUUUAAAAGAAGAUGAUUAACUCAUGUUUGCAACAUAAAUUGAUCACUUAAAAGAAAAAGAAAAUAAAUAAGUGACUGGGACUCAGAAAGCAAACUUCCAUCAUAAUCCCACAGUAGUAUAUAUGAAUCAUCAUAUGUUAGAUGGCACCGCAGUCUCAUAAGCCCCAAUCUCAUUGUUUUCUGUGCAUAGGUUCUUGUAACCCUGACCAAGGUCUGAAAUCAGGGAAAAUUUAAUAUAGAAGGAAAAUCUUUGAAAUGUUGAAGCCACAUAUUUUUUUUUUUCUACUCUUUCCAAAUCAGGCAUAUGGAUAGCCUAUUACAAUUGAAAAAUGAUGGUAGGACUCCCUUGACAGAGAGUCUUACAUUAUGACAGAGAAAUUCCAAAGAAAUACUUAAUGUGUAGAUGAGAAGGAACAGUAUUUUUCCAGUGAUCAUGAAGUGAGAAUGUAUCCAAGUGAUUUAGCUACACACAAAGGGAUAUUUCUUAUAAAUGUUACACAGAAAUUCUGAAAUUUGGAAAAAAUGUUCACAAAACAUCUUAAAGUAUUUCCCAGCUAUAAAAGUUGGUGAUUUUUUUUUUUUUUUUUUUUUUUAUAGCAGGGUGGAUAUUUUCUAGUGGGAUUUGCAAUGAAUAUGAAACAUAUCCUACAGGAAUUUUCCAAUUUUGAUAAAGGUACAUAUCUUAAGAUAGGACCAAAAAGAAAGUCUGUUCAUUACUAUGUUAAUAAGUUCAGACAAUAAAAUCAUUUUAUAUUAAUCAAAACAUUUGGUUUAGUCCCCCCCCCUUUUUCAAAAAAGCUUAACAUGCUUUACUCUAAAAUAUCAUUUUAUGUCAAUAUUAUCAAUAAAUUCAUGUUUUUGAAAUAUAAACAUGAGAUUUUUGAACAAAUGUUCACUAUUAUAUUCUUUAAAGUUUUUUAAUCUGGAAAGAGUCUAUUUUGUAGUUUGUUUUCAUGGAUCAUCAUUUUUAGUAAAAACAAAGUUGAUUAAAAAUUUUCUACCACUCGUACUUUUCAGCCAACUUCCCUUAUCUUUCCUGUGCAAUCUGACCUAUAUUUUUAUUCUGUGCUUCUCAGAACUUUCUGCUUAAGGGUAGACUGACAAUCUUCUUGAUGCUAUCCCUGAUUUUUGCAUUACAGGGAUCUAAAAUUUGAUGAUGCUUCCUUUUGCUUUAACAGUAGUUAGCUCCUGAAAAAUGAGGGAGGGAGUAGAGAGGUUUAGCACAUGCUUUUUGCAGCUCCUUAGUCUUGGGACAAGCUAGAAAUUCCAUAUUUUUAUUCCAUAAUAUUUUUUAUUUCCAUACUUUCAACUUCAAUACUUUAAAAUAGCAAGGAAUAUAAAAAAAGAGAAAAAACUGAGGAACAGCUCCUGUAUUUAAGUUGAUGUAAUCUUGAUCAAGAUUUCCCCUAGCAAAAUAAAAGAAUUGCCGAUGUGAACUUUAUAAUUAACCAGCCCAGAAAAUAUGAGAAAGCGAAACUCUCUUACUCUGUCAGCAGGAGGCAAACUUAGAGGACAAGAAGAGGCUGGAUAUGUAGUAUGCAGUAACUGUGGAUUGCUUCCAGGCUUUUUGAUCCAGUUGAAACGUCUCUGAAGAGCAUUAAGCCAUCCCAGUAUUUACUGAGGAGAAAUGCCAUUUUUCCACUUUAAAAGUGGGAUCUGGACAGUGGAAAUAAGUAAGAUUAUUUCUGGAGAACUCAGUAGAUUUGUUAGCCUUAAAUAUCAAGAUAGCCUUCUCCUAUUGCUUUCUGUUUCUGCUCUCCUUCCAGUAGUCCCUUGGCCCAUAAGAAAUGACAGUGAAAAGGUAAUAGAAAUUAAAAUCAAUUCUCAAAACAUUUGAAUAGUAAAAAUGGCAUUUGAACAGCAAUACAGAUAGAAAGAAUGCUUCUGAGAUCUAUCUAAUUGUUGUAAAGGCUUUUUAAUGAGGAAUGGUAUGUCUCUGUGCUACUUCAUAAUUCACUGUACCAUUCUAGAUGCCUCCAUAGCUUAAAUAUAAUAAAAUUUUAGUAGGAUUUUGAACACUCCCUAAGUUAGCAGGUAAGUCAAUUUAAUGUCAUAAAAGGAGAUGUAACUCUGGAGAUUUUAAAUAAUUUAAUCAGGUGUAACCAUUUCUUCUAAAGAUUUUUGGUAUUUUCUAUCAAGCUAAAAAGCAAAACAGCAUAUCCUAAUGCAUGGCUAAAGGCAGCAGCAAUGAUUGAUUCCAUUUCAUAUGUCUGUUGCUGGGCAGAAAAGUCAUUCUGCAAAAGCCAGCGCAGGCUUGGGAAAUCCUCCAGAAGCCUCUGCACUUACCAAAAACUGCUUAGCUUCCGCUCACUCUCUACUGUAGCAAAACCCCUAAUUUUGAUGGGAAACGGAAAAGACUUUUAUUUUUUAGUAAGUUUUUAGAUUUCUUCUAGGCCAAACUAGUAAUUUGCUUACACUCUCCUGUCCACAGCUGAAAAGUUGAUUUGAGUUCACCCUUUUUUACAUCCCCAUUAAUCCUUUGAUCUUGUGGAAAAAAAAAAAAAAAAAAGAUUUAUCCUGCCUCCUCUGAUAGCACUGCUGUAAGUUACUAAGCAGUUGUUUGCCCUUGGUGAUGGACAAUAAACAGAACUGUGAGACAUUCUUCAUGCAAUAUACUUUGCAGUAGGCAACGGUUAACAGCAGCGCUUCUGUAGUCUUUAGACCAUACACAUUCAAGGCUCACAAAAUACAAAUUAGUUUAUUUUGGACUCUACUGUGCACUCUCCUACAUGCUCACUCACUAAGUACCCCAUGCAGUAACACAUCAGAAGAACAAGGUUUGCUGUUGUCCUGGGAGGACUUUUUUUAUGUUAUCGCUAACUUGCAUUUUAUUAACUGAGCCUCAGGGGAGACAUGACAUUGCCAAUAUUUGUUAUUUUGUUGAAAGUUUCUCAACAUUUAACCUUCUUUAUCUGUGAGGACAAAAGAAGGGAGCUGGGAAUGCUAAAAUCUCAAACACAGAAAGGUUAAUCUAAAAGACUACGCAUGCAUAGAUGCACAUGCAUAUAUUUCUUUUAAAAAUCAUGCCAAUUCUUGGCUGAUCUCAUUCUUUAGAAACCUGAUUUGUGAUUUUGAGCACUUGCAGUUGGCAAUAUGCUACAGUUGGUUAGAAAUAGCAUAGUUUUUAUUUUCUUCCAGUGGGGAUAAAAUACAGGAAAAGGAUACAUAAUUUACAGAAAAUGAGAACAUGUUGUAAGUUAAUCUAAAUCCUCUCAGAAAUCUCAUUAUUUUUUUCCUUAUUUUCCCUAUUAUUCCUUCCUUAUCUCUGUACUAAUUGAUUCUUGCCUUUUAUUUGCAGCCUAAAUGAAGGCAGGAAAUUCAAGUAUUCCCAGAAACCCAAUCCUUGAAAAAAAAUUUACUGCUUUCUUUGAGCUCAUUGUUGCUCUGACUUUCCUGUUCUUUUUUUAAGCUGGGCAAACUACAUCGUCUUCCAGGUUUAUUAAGCUCUUAAAAACCCAUUAUUUACACUGAAUUACAGUUAACCACAUCUUUUAAAAUGUUACCAUACAUUGAACAGAACAGCGGAUUACCAUAUUUUACUCAUACAGUUACCCUUUCAGUUUAAUAUUCAGAGUUUUCUACCUUUACUUCAAUGUUACCUUAAUUACUUCUGAUGAAACAAAAAAUACAGCUGCAGUUGUUUUGCUUCUUUAAAGAAAGGGGCUUUGAUUGGCACUUAUAAAGGAAGAUGGAUUUCAAAUAAUAUUUAAAGAGAGAAAAUGUCUGUUAUGUAACUUAAAUUCUAAAAAUGGAAACAGUUUUUAGUUAUUAAUAUGGAAUUUUUAGAGCAUGAAACAAAUGGAUCCUAUCAUGCAUGAAUCAGAAUGAACUACUGAACAUACCUUUUUAUUCAUUGCUGCAUAAAUAUUCUGUGACUGAUUAUGAUUUGUAGUGAAUUAAACAAAAUAUAAAAUGUCUGCAGAAAAAAUAUGGAAUGUUUCUUUGACCUAAUGGUUAGUCUUAUGCAUGUUCUCACGAUACAUGCUAAUAGGAAUGAAAUGAGAGGAAGGGACAUUGAUACUAAGUUAGUGUUGCUGUGGCUGGGUGAAAAACUACAUGAUCAAUAGGACAUCUAGAAAACACCAUUAAUACCAUCUAAAGGAUUUUCCUGUGUUUGUUUGAAUUCUGUUUAUAUAUACCUCCAUUUGUAAAUUUUGAAUUGAUCACUGAAGUAAUGAUAAAGUACACCUGUAAGAAUGGGCCCAAUGCACUCAGUACUGGGUGCACAAAGCAUUAGCAUAACAUGGUCACUGAGUGAUUUAUAAGCCCUGUCAACACUGUUCUGUCGGGUUGCUUUUGAGGGCCAUGCUCCUUAGGCACAAACAAAGCACAAGGGCCUAAAGCUGAAAGAUCUUGUCUAUAUCUAUGCUGCAUGACCUAGGCACAAGUAGCUUCAGACAUGCAGAUUAUUCCAUAAGACUUUAUAGCACCCUUGAGAAAUUUCAGUUAGUUCUUGUGUUGUACCCGACUUGUGAUCCCUCAGAUUGUCUGCCAUAAGAAUUCUGUCUGCAUCUCACUGUUAUCUACUAGCUUUUCUGAUUACAUGAAAAAUGUGGGAAGAAGGAAGAGAACAUGAAUCCAGACCUUCAGGCUAUUAGUCUUCUCUAGUUUCCACUGAGCAGCCUGUACCUGCAUACGGCAGCAAACAAUAUAACAGCAUAACAAAUACCUGCUUCACAGGCUAAGACUGCCUGAAUUCCUGAUAAAACGCAAUGGUCUUUCCCACUGGAGAUACGAAUAUCAACACAGUCACCCUCCAUCACCCCCUACCUGAACAUCCUGAAAAAAGCAUUUCAGCUCUUAGACUCCACAAGAGUCCCUAGCAGAGCUGGGAGAGAUGUAGAACCCUUGUGGCAUAUUUUUUUCUGCUGGAAAAAGAAAGUAAACAUUAGUAUCAAUACACCUAAAAGGGUAGAAUAUCAGAUAAUUAGUUUUGGUUCAUGGGAAAUUAGUCCAGCAUGGCAGGUGGGAACUAAACAAGAUGGAAGAUUGGGUUGGAUGAUGGGGGAGAAAGAGACAAGUAGAGGCCAUGCAGCACUCUAUUCUAACUAUAAAUAACUGUUUUCUCUAUCAGUGCGUCCCUGGGUUUGGAGUCUGGCUGCAGACAGACCUCUUACCAGUUAAGCACUAACUCUCUUGAGCAUGACCACUGGGAUUUGGGACAGGCUGGGUGUCAGACCCAGGCCUACCCACCACACACCUAUGUUUAGCCUCUGUCUACAGACAAAAUGGCUGCUGGUCUGCAACUGGGUGCUGUGCUGCAGAGUGGGCACCUCUCAGACUCCACAGUGGACACCCUAUGGCCCCGCCACAGGAAGGUGUUGCCAGGCAGAAGGUCAACAGGGCAGGAGGCCUAAGGAUAUGAGGAUGAAGAAGGCAAAGAGGCCUCACCAGCCUUCAAUGCUAAAGCAAAAGUAGUGGCUGUGCCACACUGGGGUCAUCCCCCAAGUUCUGGCUACAGCCAGUCCCAGUGACUGUCCCCACAAACUCUCAGGGAAAAUUCCUUGGCAGCAUUUGUGGAGUGCAUCCUGUCUGGCACCAGAGUGGCAGUAUGAGCAGCCAAAUAUAUUCCAAUUGUAUGCAUUUUUCCAAGACAUUACGUGCUUCCAGGGCCGCUAGGCUAUGUAGUAAUCCCC